GGGGGCGUUUAUGGAUUCGACAGGGGUAGUUCGAGCAUGGGUCGCGGGUAGUGGGGAGCGUCCGCUUCAUCAACGCUAAAGCCAAUUAACUGGCAAACAACAACAAACUUACGCUUUCGCAGCUUAAUAACCUGUGAGCGUGCUCCUACCUAGCAUCGCCCAUGUGACUAGACUAGGGGCUAACAAGUAGUGGGAUACGCCGCUUCGGUCUCCGCCUGGGGUCGACGGAAGAAGAUAAUCAGGCUGACCCAACGCGUAGUCGGUUACGGGACGACGCUCGGGUGACAUCAAUACCGUGACUACACCCGUAGAAGCCUGUGUGGCGUUGUCUCUGGACAGGGGUUCAAAUCCCCUCGCCUCCACCA
This 365-nucleotide transfer-messenger RNA is filed under the name Paenibacillus cellulosilyticus. It matches the Rfam family "transfer-messenger RNA". Rfam says of the family: Bacterial tmRNA, also known as 10Sa RNA or SsrA, is named for its dual tRNA and mRNA-like properties. Its role is to liberate the mRNA from a stalled ribosome. The record is from RNAcentral. Lineage: Bacteria; Bacillati; Bacillota; Bacilli; Caryophanales; Paenibacillaceae.